RNAcentral lists this ribosomal RNA (700 nucleotides) under uncultured bacterium. RNAcentral's name for it is "bacterial SSU rRNA". It matches the Rfam family "Bacterial small subunit ribosomal RNA", at positions 8 to 708 of the family's 1533-position model. The record is from RNAcentral.
AGAGUUUGAUCCUGGCUCAGGAUGAACGCUAGCGGCAGGCCUAAUACAUGCAAGACGAACGGGAAUCGGCAGCAAUGCUGAGGAGAGUGUCGUAAGGGUGCGUAACACGUAUGCAAUUUGCCCGCAACUAGGGCAUAGCUCGGGGAAACUCGAAUUAACUCCCCAUAACAUAUAGAGAUGGCAUCAUUUUUAUAUUAAAUUUCCGGAGGUUGCGGAUAAGCAUGCGCCUGAUUAGUUAGUUGGCGGGGUAACGGCCCACCAAGACGAUGAUCAGUAGGGGAACUGAGAGGUUGAUCCCCCACACUGGCACUGAGAUACGGGCCAGACUCCUACGGGAGGCAGCAGUAGGGAAUAUUGGACAAUGGGUGCAAGCCUGAUCCAGCCAUGCCGCGUGCAGGAAGACGGCCUUCUGGGUUGUAAACUGCUUUUGUCAGGGGAUAAAAAGCUCGUGCGCGAGAAAUUGAAUGUACCUGGCGAAUAAGCCACGGCUAACUACGUGCCAGUAGCCGCGGUAAUACGUAGGUGGCAAGCGUUGUCCGGAUUUAUUGGGUUUAAAGGGUGCGUAGGCGGUCCUGUAAGUCAGUGGUGAAAUACGGCAGCUCAACUGUCGAGGUGCCAUUGAUACUGCGGGACUUGAGUGUUGAUGAGGUAGGCGGAAUUGACGGUGUAGCGGUGAAAUGCUUAGAUAUCGUCAAGAGCA